GUCAAAGACCUAAUACUUAGUCCCAGCUACUCGGGAGGCUGAGAUGGGAGGAUCACUUGAGCCCAGGAGUUCUGGGCUGUAGUACACUAUGCCGAUCGGGUGUCUGCACUAAUUUCAGCAUCAAUAUGGUGACCUCCUAGGAGUGGGGGACCACCAGGUCUCUAAGGAGGAGUGAACUAGCCCAGGUUGGAAACGGAGCAGGUCAAAACUCCCAUGCUGAUCAGUAGUGGGAUCACUCCUGUGAAUAGCCACUCUACUCCAGCCUGGGCAACACAGUGAGCCCCUGUCUCU
Molecule: signal recognition particle RNA, 291 nt
Filed under: Microcebus murinus (gray mouse lemur)
Lineage: Eukaryota; Metazoa; Chordata; Mammalia; Primates; Cheirogaleidae
Description: Metazoan signal recognition particle RNA (ENSMICG00000026677.2)
Rfam family: Metazoan signal recognition particle RNA
About the family: The signal recognition particle (SRP) is a universally conserved ribonucleoprotein.
Source: RNAcentral